UCUCUUGCUCCAUCUUUCCACGUUGCUCUCUUUUUAAUCUCCCUCAUGCUCUCUCCCUCCUUUUCUCUGUCUCUCUCUCUCUGUUUGUCUCUGCCCCCCCCACAGCUCUCUCUCUCUCCAGGCUCUGCAACUCCACAGUCUUUCAAACUCUGCAGAUUUUUCAGCCAAACUUGUUUCUCCGUGACUCCCUCCACUCAGCUUUCCACACACGGAGCUGCAGGUGAGAUAAUGCAUCCCAAUCUGCUAGAUGGACCAGACUGGAAACGCUUUUACCAUGAAAACGUUAUUUUUCAUGCUACAACGUGUAAAGCGGAGGAGGAAAAAUAUUACGCAUCCCUCCAUCUCCAGAGGAGUGUAUUUGCUGAUGCCGGCAAACAUAAAUUACUGCACCUCAUUCGUGCUUGGCCACAUGCAGCCAGAGCAUUAAAGAACUAAUGCUAAAAAACUUAAUACCAUCUACAGUGAGACAAAACAGCCACAAGUACAGUCUUUC
Molecule: long non-coding RNA, 493 nt
Organism: Pygocentrus nattereri (red-bellied piranha)
Lineage: Eukaryota; Metazoa; Chordata; Actinopteri; Characiformes; Serrasalmidae
Exons: 3
Source: RefSeq, a predicted model, not a curated record